AAAACUUUUCCAAAAGAAAAAUCUGUUCUUAUCAGUUUAAUAUCUGAUACGUCCCCUAUCUGGGGACCAUAUAUUAAAUUGAUUUUUGGAAUAGGGAGAUGGAAUAGGGGCUUGCUCCGUCCACUCCACGCAUCGACCUGGUAUUGCAGUACCUCCAGGAACGGUGCACCCCCU
RNAcentral lists this small nuclear RNA (174 nucleotides) under Oncorhynchus kisutch (coho salmon). Its description in RNAcentral is "U2 spliceosomal RNA (ENSOKIG00005008461.1)". It matches the Rfam family "U2 spliceosomal RNA". From Rfam's summary of the family: U2 is a small nuclear RNA (snRNA) component of the spliceosome (involved in pre-mRNA splicing). RNAcentral also lists the same sequence under 1 other name. Lineage: Eukaryota; Metazoa; Chordata; Actinopteri; Salmoniformes; Salmonidae. The record is from Rfam by way of RNAcentral.